UAAAAAAGGAAAAAUCAUUCUAUACUCUAUACUCAGAGUAGUCACUCUAUAGCUACCUACGGCAAAGACAUACCUUUGGAAAGGUCGCUCUCAUCUCUUGACGAAUCGCAUAUGAAAGCUUCGGGGUAUAAGUCCACUGGUUGAGGUUAGAAAAAGAGAUGAAAAAUGUAAGGUCGUGAUAGAAAAGUCUAAAGCAUAUGAUAAAUGCCAAAAUUGAUUUUUUCCCUUGCCUAUAAUAUACUUCCUUUUGAAGCAGUUUAGGAUUGUUAAAUUGUUUAGAAACCAAUUCAGAUUUAAAGCUAUAAACCUGCUCAGGAUUAUGUAAAUUAUGUAUUUCGUUAUUACAUUAUUAUUAUCUAUGUGUAUAUCUUCACUUUGAAGUUACACCCACGUGCCCUUCAUUCUUA
Glycine soja is the source of this 407-nucleotide long non-coding RNA. RefSeq lists it as uncharacterized. NCBI's taxonomy places the organism in Eukaryota, Viridiplantae, Streptophyta, Magnoliopsida, Fabales, Fabaceae. The transcript is spliced from 2 exons. The record is from RefSeq and is a predicted model, not a curated record.